AGAGUUUGAUCAUGGCUCAGGACGAACGCUGGCGGCGUGCCUAAUACAUGCAAGUCGAGCGAGGUUUGAACAAGUCUUCGGAUUUGUUUGAAUCUAGCGGCGGACGGGUGAGUAACACGUGGGCAACCUGCCCAUAAGCUCGGGAUAACUGUCGGAAACGGCGGCUAAUACCGGAUAGAUGGUUUCCUCGCAUGGGGGAA
This 200-nucleotide ribosomal RNA is filed under the name uncultured bacterium. RNAcentral's name for it is "partial 16S ribosomal RNA". It matches the Rfam family "Bacterial small subunit ribosomal RNA", at positions 8 to 198 of the family's 1533-position model. The record is from RNAcentral.